UACAUGCUUAGUGUAAAAGAAUAUAUUUCAUAAUGUAUUCUUAGAUAAGGUUUUGUAGAGAUUUUACACUUGAUAUAUCCCUUAGUGUCCAUGUGAUAAUUUGUAUACUCAGUGUUCUAAGGAUACAUUUACAGUCCUCCAAACAAUCGAGUAGCUUUUUCCUCUCAUACUGCUAUCCUUGACAAAUCAGUCUAAACAUUUUAUAUACAUAUCCUUUGGUACUGGAGAUUUAACUCAGAGCCACUUUACCAAUGAGCCACAUUCCCAGCAUUUUUUUUUUCUUACUUUUUAUUUAGAGACAGCAUCUCACUAAGUUAUUGAGACUGGCUUCAAACUUGCAAUCCUUUUGCUUCAGCCUCCCAGAUCUCUAGGAUUACAGGCAUGCACAUAACAUCUAGCUUAAAAAUUUAUAUUAAAUAAAGAGAAUGUCUUUACAUUUCUUUAUUUUUCUAUGAUCCAUGUAAAUAUGACUAAAAGUUUUGUGCUAAUCCCACUCUCUGUGACACGCCCCUGAGUUUUAUUUUAGUUUUGUUCUUCAACAGGCUUGAUGCUCAUACCUCUGGAGCAAUAGGAAUUUGUUUGGGAUUUGUUAUUGCAGUUGCUAUAGUGGCUAAAGAUAGAAACUCUUGGUUUCUGUGAAAAGGGAGACAGUGCACUUGAGUUUUCUGCACUGAAACUGGAAACCAUGUACAGGUAAAGCAGUUCUGAACCAGAUCAUCUCCUUUUCCUAAAUGUGAAAAAUUAUACAUGAGACCCAUUUGCCUAAAAAUUACCAGGUGUUCCCCAUGUGGCUAGGCACUCUGGGCAUAGCACUGCACUAAGUGUUGACAAUCCUAGAGUAAGGGUCUUUACUCUUUCAGAAUAGUGUGUUCAUGGCUUCCUCAACUGCAUACUAAAAUUUUGCAAAAGUGUGGAAAAUUGUUUUGAGGUCACUGAAAAAAAAUUAGUACUAAAAGAAGCUGUUUCCCUUUACAAAAAUAAAACUUCAUGUGGGCCAUGGUGGUACACACCUGUAAUCCCAACAACUUGGGAGGCUGAGGCAGGAGGAUCCUGAGUUCAAAGCCAGCCUCAGCAAAAGUGAGGUGCUAAGCAACUCAGAGAGACUCUAUCUCACUGAUAGAGUCUCUAAAUAAAAUACAAAAUAGGGCUAGGGAUGUGGUCAGUGGUGAGUGCUACUGAGUUCAAUCCCUCGUACAGAAAAAAAGAAAAAUAAAUAAACCCCGCUGGGAUGUGGCUCAGUGGUAAAGUGCCC
Molecule: long non-coding RNA, 1252 nt
Filed under: Marmota monax (woodchuck)
Lineage: Eukaryota; Metazoa; Chordata; Mammalia; Rodentia; Sciuridae
Source: RNAcentral